This 545-nucleotide ribosomal RNA is filed under the name uncultured bacterium. RNAcentral describes it as "partial 16S ribosomal RNA". It matches the Rfam family "Bacterial small subunit ribosomal RNA", at positions 355 to 895 of the family's 1533-position model. The record is from RNAcentral.
UGGGGAAUUUUGGACAAUGGGCGAAAGCCUGAUCCAGCAAUGCCGCGUGUGUGAAGAAGGCCUUCGGGUUGUAAAGCACUUUUGUCCGGAAAGAAAUCCUUGGCUCUAAUACAGUCGGGGGAUGACGGUACCGGAAGAAUAAGCACCGGCUAACUACGUGCCAGCAGCCGCGGUAAUACGUAGGGUGCAAGCGUUAAUCGGAAUUACUGGGCGUAAAGCGUGCGCAGGCGGUUUGCUAAGACCGAUGUGAAAUCCCCGGGCUCAACCUGGGAACUGCAUUGGUGACUGGCAGGCUAGAGUAUGGCAGAGGGGGGUAGAAUUCCACGUGUAGCAGUGAAAUGCGUAGAGAUGUGGAGGAAUACCGAUGGCGAAGGCAGCCCCCUGGGGCCAAUACUGACGCUCAUGCACGAAAGCGUGGGGAGCAAACAGGAUUAGAUACCCUGGUAGUCCACGCCCUAAACGAUGUCAACUAGUUGUUGGGGAUUCAUUCUAGUAACGUAGCUAACGCGUGAAGUUGACCGCCUGGGGAGUACGGUCGCAAGAUU